Papilio xuthus (Asian swallowtail) is the source of this 357-nucleotide long non-coding RNA. RefSeq lists it as uncharacterized. NCBI's taxonomy places the organism in Eukaryota, Metazoa, Arthropoda, Insecta, Lepidoptera, Papilionidae. The record is from RefSeq and is a predicted model, not a curated record. The transcript has 2 exons.
UACCAUUUGGAAAAUGCAUUUAUAUUACAAGUUAGAUAUAUUUAAAUGGCUCUUUAUACAAUAUUAUUUGGGAUCAGUAUUUUUAUGAUAGCUCUGGUUAUCGCAGUUAUUGAAAAUAUAUUUUUCCAUUGGAAACACGAACAUACUAUCGAAAGGACUUCUUUGGUUGCUGUCGAACGACCAGCGGUCAGUUUGAUGAUACGUACAUCGAGAUGUUUUUUCAAAUGUCGCCAGUACGCAGAUGGGAGUUGCGUGUACGACGUCAUAGACAAAUCGGAUUCCCCGAGUAGCGGUUUUGAAUCUGUGGCCAACUGACUUUUUUUUUCUAAGUGUAAAUAAAUGACAGUUAAAUAUUAA